UACAGAGGUCUCAAGCGUUGUUCGGAUUCAUUGGGCGUAAAGGGUGCGUAGGCGGCGCGGUAAGUCGGGUGUGAAAUCCUGGAGCUCAACUCCAGAACUGCCUUUGAUACUGAGAAGCUUGAGUCCGGGAGAGGUGAGUGGAACUGCGAGUGUAGAGGUGAAAUUCGUAGAUAUUCGCAAGAACACCAGUGGCGAAGGCGGCUCACUGGCCCGGUACUGACGCUGAGGUGCGAAAGCGUGGGGAGCAAACAGG
Molecule: ribosomal RNA, 253 nt
Filed under: uncultured bacterium
Lineage: Bacteria
Description: partial 16S ribosomal RNA
Rfam family: Bacterial small subunit ribosomal RNA
Source: RNAcentral